Molecule: ribosomal RNA, 1369 nt
Filed under: uncultured bacterium
Lineage: Bacteria
Description: bacterial SSU rRNA
Rfam family: Bacterial small subunit ribosomal RNA
Source: RNAcentral
GACGAACGCUGGCGGCGUGCCUAAUACAUGCAAGUAGAACACUGAAGAGAGGAGCUUGCUCUUCUUGGAUGAGUUGCGAACGGGUGAGUAACGCGUAGGUAACCUGCCUUGUAGCGGGGGAUAACUAUUGGAAACGAUAGCUAAUACCGCAUAACAAUGGAUGACACAUGUCAUUUAUUUGAAAGGGGCAAUUGCUCCACUACAAGAUGGACCUGCGUUGUAUUAGCUAGUAGGUGAGGUAAUGGCUCACCUAGGCGACGAUACAUAGCCGACCUGAGAGGGUGAUCGGCCACACUGGGACUGAGACACGGCCCAGACUCCUACGGGAGGCAGCAGUAGGGAAUCUUCGGCAAUGGGGGCAACCCUGACCGAGCAACGCCGCGUGAGUGAAGAAGGUUUUCGGAUCGUAAAGCUCUGUUGUAAGUCAAGAACGGGUGUGAGAGUGGAAAGUUCACACUGUGACGGUAGCUUACCAGAAAGGGACGGCUAACUACGUGCCAGCAGCCGCGGUAAUACGUAGGUCCCGAGCGUUGUCCGGAUUUAUUGGGCGUAAAGCGAGCGCAGGCGGUUUGAUAAGUCUGAAGUUAAAGGCUGUGGCUCAACCAUAGUUCGCUUUGGAAACUGUCAAACUUGAGUGCAGAAGGGGAGAGUGGAAUUCCAUGUGUAGCGGUGAAAUGCGUAGAUAUAUGGAGGAACACCGGUGGCGAAAGCGGCUCUCUGGUCUGUAACUGACGCUGAGGCUCGAAAGCGUGGGGAGCGAACAGGAUUAGAUACCCUGGUAGUCCACGCCGUAAACGAUGAGUGCUAGGUGUUGGAUCCUUUCCGGGAUUCAGUGCCGCAGCUAACGCAUUAAGCACUCCGCCUGGGGAGUACGACCGCAAGGUUGAAACUCAAAGGAAUUGACGGGGGCCCGCACAAGCGGUGGAGCAUGUGGUUUAAUUCGAAGCAACGCGAAGAACCUUACCAGGUCUUGACAUCCCGAUGCUAUUUCUAGAGAUAGAAAGUUACUUCGGUACAUCGGUGACAGGUGGUGCAUGGUUGUCGUCAGCUCGUGUCGUGAGAUGUUGGGUUAAGUCCCGCAACGAGCGCAGCCCCUAUUGUUAGUUGCCAUCAUUCAGUUGGGCACUCUAGCGAGACUGCCGGUAAUAAACCGGAGGAAGGUGGGGAUGACGUCAAAUCAUCAUGCCCCUUAUGACCUGGGCUACACACGUGCUACAAUGGUUGGUACAACGAGUUGCGAGUCGGUGACGGCGAGCUAAUCUCUUAAAGCCAAUCUCAGUUCGGAUUGUAGGCUGCAACUCGCCUACAUGAAGUCGGAAUCGCUAGUAAUCGCGGAUCAGCACGCCGCGGUGAAUACGUUCCCGGGCCU